CAGGAGACCAGCUCCGUUGGAUCAUGACUCUGUCUCAUCCUUUCCGACAUAAAUCUCCAUCUCAUCCUCCAGAAGCACAGCAUCUGUCAGAAUGAUCAAUGCUUUGGUUUCUGAGUCAAGGAACUGUUUCCACUGAGCAAGAUAUGGGGACCAUACAUUGAUAUUCUUUCCAAUUCAAAAUGGCCCUCUAUCCAAAAGUGCUCAUCUCAGGUAACAAAAGGAAUAUUUGCUCCGUUUCUUUCGAGCCCAGCAGCAUGGCAUCUAAAAUCACAAAUAUUUAUUUCAACAUUCCCAAUGGCCACAGUUCUUAUCCCAUGGAAAGAAUAUUUUAACAAUGAAAAUAGCAUUUUUUAUUUAUUUUUUUGCAAGAGCUUCAAAUUACACUGUUUGAAAUGCCCUGAUGAAAUGGAGUAGCAAAUGUAAAAGGCAAUCUGCAGCCUUUACUUUGUUGUUUAAAUUCAAAAGUGACCCUUUGACGCUGUGUUUGUGUUUUAAAACUGAUAACAGCUAAUUGCAAAAGCAGAACAAUGAAGUGUGUGUUCCAUUCUCAGGAAGUGAUUUUAGAAUUAAUGCAGGAAUAAACACCACCUUUAACUUUAAAAUAUUCUUCUAGCCAUACAUGUAAGAAAAACCUUAAAAUGCAUUUUAGUCCAGCUAUUGAGAUUUCAAAAUUUAAAGAGCAAUAAAAGUUAAGCU
Long non-coding RNA from Xiphophorus couchianus (Monterrey platyfish), 696 nucleotides. RefSeq lists it as uncharacterized. NCBI's taxonomy places the organism in Eukaryota, Metazoa, Chordata, Actinopteri, Cyprinodontiformes, Poeciliidae. The record is from RefSeq and is a predicted model, not a curated record. The transcript has 3 exons.